ACGAACGCUGGCGGCGUGCUUAACACAUGCAAGUCGAACGGAGAUAGUUUGAAAGCUUGCUGAUAACUAUCUUAGUGGCGCACGGGUGAGUAACACGUGGGCAACCUGCCCGGAAGACUGGGAUAACACCUCGAAAGGGGUGCUAAUACCGGAUACCUUCACGAAGUCGCAUGACUUUGUGCAGAAAGAAAUUCGCUUCCGGAUGGGCCCGCGUCCCAUUAGCUAGUUGGCGAGGUAACGGCUCACC
This 247-nucleotide ribosomal RNA is filed under the name uncultured bacterium. RNAcentral's name for it is "partial 16S ribosomal RNA". It matches the Rfam family "Bacterial small subunit ribosomal RNA", at positions 29 to 269 of the family's 1533-position model. The record is from RNAcentral.